UGUAUUUGAUGUGAGAACAGCACAACAGUGUAUUUGAUGUGAGAACAGCACAGCAGUGUAUUUGAUGUGAGAACAGCACAGCAGUGUAUUUGAUGUGAGAACAGCACAGCAGUGUAUUUGAUGUGAGAACAGUGACUGAAGCUCAUGGGAACUACUGUAAACCACUGCUUUAGAAUUCUCUACUGCUGUGAAGAACCUUAUAAAACCAUGAGGGAUUUAUUGGUGUGGACUGUGAACAAUUAAAAUCACUGUUCAAAUUGAUUUCUGAUUUUACUUAAUUAAAAACAAUAUGAACUAUAAA
This is a long non-coding RNA of Oncorhynchus masou masou (cherry salmon), 301 nucleotides long. RefSeq lists it as uncharacterized. The record is from RefSeq and is a predicted model, not a curated record. The transcript has 2 exons. NCBI's taxonomy places the organism in Eukaryota, Metazoa, Chordata, Actinopteri, Salmoniformes, Salmonidae.